Non-coding RNA from Cinara cedri, 304 nucleotides. NCBI's taxonomy places the organism in Eukaryota, Metazoa, Arthropoda, Insecta, Hemiptera, Aphididae. The record is from the annotation of a GenBank genome assembly.
CCUAAAACGAUAUUAUUAUAUAAUAUGCAGAUUACGUGUCCGGAUAGCGCGUAGAGAACAUAAAAAAUACGUUACUCAAAAGCAGUUGUAGGUAAAUAUGAAAAUUCCAACAAUAUUGUUGAUACAUCGCGUUACCUAUAGCUAUAGCCAAAUAAUAAAUUUGUAAUUUACUCGAAAAAUGGUCGAAUUAUGUCUAUAAAAAUACGCUCCCGAAAAUGAACAAAUUAGAAAUCCUAACAAAAAUAUGUUUCGUAUUUUUUUACAAUAUUAUAAUUUAAUACGUUACAAUGAGUUUUGAACAAAA